Molecule: long non-coding RNA, 500 nt
Organism: Pongo pygmaeus (Bornean orangutan)
Lineage: Eukaryota; Metazoa; Chordata; Mammalia; Primates; Hominidae
Exons: 3
Source: RefSeq, a predicted model, not a curated record
AGUGCUGCUGGUACCAGCCUCCUGUUCCUGACAAGACUUUGGGAAACUGUUAGCAGGGCCUUAGAAGCACAUUUGCUCUUGGGAGGCAGCCUGCUCUAUUGCUCUUUGGCACUGAGGGAAGCUCUCUGGGGAGAGGAGCCCACCAAUGCUUGGCUGACAAGAUCUUAGUCAUGUCUGCUGUUCCUUUACCUUUGCUGCCGUCUUCAUAUCACUAAGGGAGCCCUGCGGAGUGGGGUGGAGUUCAAGAUGGACUCUCAAGAAGUUAUAGGAAGCUCUUUAUCAAUUCUAUUCCUGAGAAGGACCCACUUCAGGGAUGUUACAGUGCAGACAAAGAUUCUGGUGCCUCACAAGAUUUGACACAAGCCAGUGCUUUGUUGUUUUUCUCACCUGUUGGCCAGAAGAUUAUCUUGGAGCAGGAAAAGGAGCCAAGAGAAGCCUCUGAAGGAUUGUAAACAGAAGAAUGAUCCAAUUGUGUUUGUAAAUUAAAAGGUCACCCUGGC